UACGGAGGGUGCAAGCGUUAUCCGGAUUUACUGGGUUUAAAGGGUGCGUAGGUGGGUUGGGAAGUCAGUGGUGAAAUACUUUCGCUUAACGAAGGAACUGCCAUUGAUACUAUCAAUCUUGAAUGUAGUGGAGGUAGGCGGAAUGCGUCAUGUAGCGGUGAAAUGCUUAGAUAUGACGCAGAACACCAAUUGCGAAGGCAGCUUGCUACACUAUUAUUGACGCUGAGACACGAAAUCGUGGGGAUCAAACAGG
This 253-nucleotide ribosomal RNA is filed under the name uncultured bacterium. Its description in RNAcentral is "partial 16S ribosomal RNA". It matches the Rfam family "Bacterial small subunit ribosomal RNA", at positions 524 to 776 of the family's 1533-position model. The record is from RNAcentral.